This 472-nucleotide ribosomal RNA is filed under the name uncultured bacterium. Its description in RNAcentral is "bacterial SSU rRNA". It matches the Rfam family "Bacterial small subunit ribosomal RNA", at positions 30 to 507 of the family's 1533-position model. The record is from RNAcentral.
AUUGAACGCUGGCGGCAGGCCUAACACAUGCAAGUCGAGCGGGGUUUUCGGACCUAGCGGCGGACGGGUGAGUAAUGCGUAGGAAGCUACCCGAUAGAGGGGGAUACCAGUUGGAAACGACUGUUAAUACCGCAUAAUGUCUACGGACCAAAGUGUGGGACCUUCGGGCCACAUGCUAUCGGAUGCGCCUACGUGGGAUUAGCUAGUUGGUGGGGUAAAGGCUCACCAAGCCAACGAUCUGUAGCUGGUCUGAGAGGACGACCAGCCACACUGGAACUGAGACACGGUCCAGACUCCUACGGGAGGCAGCAGUGGGGAAUUUUGGACAAUGGACGCAAGUCUGAUCCAGCCAUUCCGCGUGCAGGAUGAAGGCCCUCGGGUUGUAAACUGCUUUUGUACGGAACGAAAAGGUUUGUCUUAAUACGAUGAGCUCAUGACGGUACCGUAAGAAUAAGCACCGGCUAACUACGUG